Molecule: unclassified non-coding RNA, 4913 nt
Filed under: Amphibalanus amphitrite
Lineage: Eukaryota; Metazoa; Arthropoda; Thecostraca; Balanomorpha; Balanidae
Description: fibronectin type-III domain-containing protein 3a- like, transcript variant X3
Source: RNAcentral
GGUUGUUUGUGAGAAGUGUGCCGGGUUUCUAACUGUGGAAAAACCGUUUGAUUCAUAUAAUUAACAUUUCAGCGGUACGUGUGCACGCUCCGUACGGCCGAUGGUGAGACCGCAACAGCAGGCGGGUGCCGCCGAGCCCGCCGGCGCCGAGCCGGCCGAGCAGUCUGCGCCGCUGCCGCCUCUGAACGGCGACUGCAGCGGCCACGGCGGGCCGACGGACGGCUGCGCGCCGGCCGUGCCGCUGGUCAUGUCGUCGCCGCCGCCGACCGACGGUGUGCGCUACACGCCGUCGCCGCACUCUCAGGACUCUGCGUCGCCGCCGCAGGCCGCCGCCAGCCCGCAUGUGGUGCUGCUACACAUAGUGGACGGAGAGAGCAUUCAGUUCCAGCGCGGGGACAAUGUGGAGCUCAUACAAGGUCCCGCCACGGUGCAGAUGGUCUCGACCAACUCGUCGCCGCCGAUGGCGUACCCGGUUCAGGUACCUCCGGGUCACAUGAUGCAGCAGGUGGUGGACGGAACAGGUACCCUGCGGCACGUCAUCCUCUCGCCGGAGCCGAGAGCGCUGGCCACCAUGCCGCCCUAUAGCACGAGCCAGCCGCCGCCGCCGUUCUACCCGGCCCCUCCGCCGCCGCAGGGGUUCGGUCCACCCCCGUACCCCCCUCACGCCAUGUACGGAGCGGGGGGACAGCAGACGGGAGCCGGUCUCCUGGCGGCUGGAGCAGCGCCCAUGCAGCAGGGUCCCUCGCCGCCGCCGCAGCAGACCCAGAUGCCGCCGCCGCACGGUCCCAAGGACCAGCGCUCCCAGCGCCGUAUCCAGAGGAUGCGCCGAAAGCUAAACGAGAAGCAGCGGCCGCCGGCCGGCGGCUCGCGCGCCUCGCCCUCCCCGUCGCCGUCGCCAGGUGACCACAAGAACGGCCGUCGCACCGCCUCUGAGCCGGAGGAGAAUGGAGAGCCGAGUGGGGACAGUACCAGCUCCGUGUGUAGUCAACAGGACGACGAGGACCGAGCCGUCUGCGAGUUCCUCUCCAAACUGCGGCCGCCGCAGGUGUCAGAGAUCACGCGCGGCUCGGCGCUGGUUAGCUGGGCGCACCCGGACGUCACCGUCGACCAGCUGAGUAUUGCGCCCGACCAGCUCAGCUACGAGCUCAGUAUGGCUGAGAGCCGCUCGGGCUCCGGAGGCAGCGCACCGCCGCCGCCGGCUGCCUUCCGGCGAGUGUGCGCCGACAGAACUGUGUCGGCAGAGCUGACACAGCUGCGACCGGCCACCACCUACUACCUGACCCUGCAGUGCAGUCUUGCAGCUCUGCAGGGCACCGUCACCGCGCCUGUGAGCUUCACCACGCUAGCGGCACCCCCAGAGCAGCCGCGGCCGCCCACACUUCUUAGCAAGACCAAGACCAACCUCCACGUCAAGUGGUCGGCGCCGGCCGACAACGGCUCGCGGAUCAGCCAGUACGUGCUCGAGUGUGACGCCGGCCAGGGUUUCAGCGAGGUGACGCGCUGCCGCAGCAAGCAGCACACGGUGACCCACCUGCAGCCGGCCACCGCCUACCGGCUGCGGGUGGCCGCCUGUAACGAGCUGGGCCAGGGCCCGUUCUCUGAGCUGGUGACGCUGCAGACGGCCGGCCUGGUGCCGCCGCCGCCCGAGCCGCCGCGGCUCGACGAGGCCACCGCCGCGCAGCUGUCGCUCAGCUGGAGCCGGCGGCCCACCGAUGACUCGUUCGACGUGCACAUGGAGAAGGACGGCUCCAAGUACGGCUUCCUGGCGCUCUACAGUGGGCCGGACACGCGUCACCGGGCUAAUGGGCUGACCAGGAACACCAGCUACCGGUUCAAGCUGCGGGCGAUUAACGAGGAGGGGGCCUCUCGCUGGUCGGAGACGGUCAGCUACCGGACGUGCUGCCUGCCGCCGGCGGCUCCUGCCCGGCCGGCGGUGAGGGGCCGGGUCCACGCACACCAGGCGCGUGUGCGCUGGGAGCCUCCGGCCGACACGGGCGGCGGGGGGAUCGCCGAGUACCGGCUGCAGCUGCUGAGCGCUGGCGGCCAGUGGACGACCGUGUACAGCGGCGCCGAGCUGGAGCACACGGUGACCGGCCUGCAGCCGGGCACCGCGCACCAGAUGAGGGUGUGCUGUGUCGGUGAGGGCGGCCUCAGCGAGCCCUCCGAGCCGGCCACGGUCACCACCGAAGCCGUCUGUCCCGGCCGCUGUGCGCCGCCCCGGCUCCACGGGAAGCCUCGUGCCACAUCCUGUCACGUCAAAUGGGCGGCGCCGGAGUUUUGCGGCGGCGCGUCCGGCACUCUGGCGCUGGAGUACGAGCUCGAGCUGACCCUGGACGAGCCGACUGACGGAGUGGAGGAGCCGCCGGCCGCCAGUCGGGUGUACAGUGGCUCGGAUACAGAGUGUACCGUGUCCACCCUGCUGCCCGGCCGGCCCUACCGGCUACAGGUGCGCGCGGUGAACCGUGUCGGCGCCGGUCCGUGGUCCGAGUCUCUGUCUGUACUGAGCGGCGCCGGACCGCCCUCCCCGCCCGCCGCGCCCUCCGUGUCAGCCCGCUCGCCGCACGCGCUGCUGGUGCGCUGGGCGGAGCCGGCAUCCAACGGCGCCGCCGUCACCGAGUACCGGCUGGAGCUGGCCGUGGGCAGUGCCGCCUUCCAGCCGGUCUACACGGGCACGGCGCUGCAGCACGAGGCGCGCGGACUGCAGCCGGCCACUGCCUACCGGCUGCGGGUGUCGGCCUCCAACUCUGCCGGCGCCGGGCCGCCCUCUGAGCCGACUGUGACGGUUACCCCGGCGGCCUCGCCCGCGGCCGUCACCUGCGUGGAGGCCGAGCCGACGGCCACCAGCCUGACACUGAGCUGGCAGCCGCCGGCCGACCACGGCGCCGAGGUGCUCCACUACACUGUGGAGGUCUCCGAGAGGCUGUGCAGCACGGCCGGCCCGCAGCCGCGGCUCACUGUCAACCAGCUGGCGCCCGACACCGUCUAUAGGAUACGUGUUCAGGCGGUGAACAGCGUGGGUCCCGGCCCGUUCAGCGCCGUCUACCGCUGGAGCACCCUGAGCCUGCCGCCGGCGCCGCCGCCCCUCGAGGUCACCCACACGGCGCACAACUUCGUCCGCCUCCGCUGGGGCGACGUCAAACAGCAGACGGAGCGUAUCGUGUACUCGCUAGAGUGCGAGGCCAAGAAUGGAGAGUUUUACGUGGUGUACGAGGGCAGCGGCACCCAGUUCAAGAUGGCCCGCCUCUCCGAGGACACCGAGUAUCGGCUGAGAAUCUGCGCGGCCAACGAGGCCGGCGAGGGGCCCUACUCGAAUGUGGUCAGCACGCGCACCACCCGACAGCCGCCGCCCUCCGUCAGAGGUCUGCGUCUGGGCGACCGGACGGAGCGCAGCUGUACCCUGGAGUGGCUGCCGGUCAAGUCUGGCGCGUCGGCCGACCAGAGGCCCAGCUAUGAGCUGCAGCUGACGCCGGCCGGCCGGCAGCACGAGUUCCAGACGGUGUACACUGGCCCGGAGGUGCAGUACCGCCUGACCGGCCUGGAGCCCCAGACCGACUACCAGGCGCGCGUCUGCUGCCGGCCCGUCACCGGGGAGUGUGGACCGUUCACCGCUCCGCUGCGGUUCACCACGCCCGCGGCGCCGCCGCCGCCGCCGGCCGCCCGCGCUGCCGCCGCCACCUCCCAGACUGCCAAGGCGGCCGAGCGGAAGCCGUGGACAGAGCAGCAGUGGGCCGUGGUCAUCCUGGGCGCGUUCGCGGCCGUCGCUGUACUGCUGGCCGUCCUCGUACAGCAAAUCAUGGUUAUGAUGUCGUAGUGCAGCGCGUUUCGCCCGGACCCGACCCGACCCUGAUAUAUACCGUCUAUUUUAUUACGUGGUUGUACGUGCCCUCUGUGUCCAGAUUUUAUCUGGCGGGUGCGCGUCUGUCGGUCUGUCGCGUCCUGUCCCCCCUUCCUCCCCGCCACGCCCCGUCCCACCAGAGGCGCUGUGAUCGCGCCGGGACACGGCUGGACCGAGAUACGCGCGGGAGACAGACGAAGCACGGGCCGCUGUCCUAACCGCCGAGCGCAAACACCUAUAAACAGGUAAAUCACCAGACCAAUGUGCCACCGGAGAGGACUGCAGUGUCUCCGCGCUCGGCGGGGGUGGCUCGUGUGGUUCGUCUGACCGUCAGUGGUUGUGUGUGCGCGCGCGGUGUUCGGUGUUCUCUCGGGGGCGAACGGCGGCGGCGGGCGGCCUGUCCUCUCCGGUGUCCUAGGUGUGGCUCCAAGACAAUCCCGCGUGCGUGGCGCGGUUCGCGUGUACAAAUUGAACGCUGCAUUUAUGUCUCAUUUAUGUCUGCCGGCGGGCCGGGGCGCUCGGCGAGCAGCGUCCGGCCCGGCCGGCUGUUUUGUUUUAUUGUCAGGGUUUUGCUCGGGCGUCGCGUGCUGGGGCGGUGUCAGAGUCUGAGCGACAGACGAGAAGUGCGGUAAGAGCUGGGCAAUCGGCGAGCCCGCCCCGGCCUCUCGGUAGUUUUAUUUUUGUUUGCAUCGCUUGCUGGACACGGACGCAAGCAUCCAUUCCACACAAGGCACAAAAUCGUGUUUUGGAUGCGAAUUUCCGUUAUCGAAUAGCUUUACCAGAGGGAUUGUUUAUCGAGCGUUAUACUGCAAUUAAAUAUAUAUUUACUGUUAUAGCACUGCUUGGCGAGCACGCUGCGGCCGGGCGGUGCGUCUCUGGUGACAAUCGCCGGCCUCUCCCGCCCACAGCCCCUUUUCAAUGGCGCCCGCCGGUGUGGUUAUGUGAUUAAGACAUGGAUGGAUUGGACAUGGCGCACACACGGACUGGCGCACGCGGACGCGCCUCUCCUAUCUAUUAUAUAUAUAAACUGGCUAUAUUCUGUUGUCUGAUGCAUUCCAAAAUAAACAGGCUACGUUGA